RNAcentral lists this ribosomal RNA (465 nucleotides) under uncultured bacterium. RNAcentral describes it as "partial 16S ribosomal RNA". It matches the Rfam family "Bacterial small subunit ribosomal RNA", at positions 28 to 507 of the family's 1533-position model. The record is from RNAcentral.
GACGAACGCUGGCGGCGUGCUUAACACAUGCAAGUCGUACGGUAAGGCCCUUUCGGGGGUACACGAGUGGCGAACGGGUGAGUAACACGUGAGUAACCUGCCCACAACUUUGGGAUAACGCUAGGAAACUGGUGCUAAUACUGGAUAUUUGCUCCUGCUGCAUGGUGGGGGUUGGAAAGCUCCGGCGGUUGUGGAUGGACUCGCGGCCUAUCAGCUUGUUGGUGGGGUAGUGGCCUACCAAGGCGGCGACGGGUAGCCGGCCUGAGAGGGUGACCGGCCACAUUGGGACUGAGAUACGGCCCAGACUCCUACGGGAGGCAGCAGUGGGGAAUAUUGCACAAUGGGCGCAAGCCUGAUGCAGCAACGCCGCGUGCGGGAUGACGGCCUUCGGGUUGUAAACCGCUUUCAGCAGGGACGAAGCUUUUUGUGACGGUACCUGCAGAAGAAGCACCGGCUAACUACGUG